This 346-nucleotide long non-coding RNA is filed under the name Hordeum vulgare. Its description in RNAcentral is "long non-coding RNA (HVUL_LNC000570)". Lineage: Eukaryota; Viridiplantae; Streptophyta; Magnoliopsida; Poales; Poaceae. The record is from RNAcentral.
UUACCAACUAACGAUAACCUGAACGAUCCUUCUUAGCAUCAUGUCAUCUCAAUCAAUCCCUCACUCGUGUUUUAUGACAUUGAGAAGACCUGCUCCCACCUCUGCAUGUCAAAGAUCAUCCAGACUACAUGCAUGCUUCUCGAUGACAUAUCGUCGCCACCAUAACCAACCGCCCUCAACUAACUAACUCCCUCUUGCUCUAUCCACGACCAAAGACACAACCGAGCAUUGUUGAAGGGUGGUUUUUUCUCUAAAGAACACUAACCCAAAUUGGGAUAAACCAAAAGCCCUAAGGUCGGCAUAGAAGGCAACUACCAAACUAAGGAUGCCACAACCAAUGUAUUUG